RNAcentral lists this ribosomal RNA (399 nucleotides) under Candidatus Williamhamiltonella defendens. RNAcentral's name for it is "bacterial SSU rRNA". It matches the Rfam family "Bacterial small subunit ribosomal RNA", at positions 27 to 416 of the family's 1533-position model. Lineage: Bacteria; Pseudomonadati; Pseudomonadota; Gammaproteobacteria; Enterobacterales; Enterobacteriaceae. The record is from RNAcentral.
GAUUGAACGCUGGUGGCAGGCCUAACACAUGCAAGUCGAGCGGCAUCGAGUGAUCGCAGUUUACUGAGUUCAUGUCGGCGAGCGGCGGACGGGUGAGUAAAGUCUGGGAAUCUGGCCGAAGGAGGGGGAUAACUGCUGGAAACGGCAGCUAAUACCGCAUGAAGUCGCGAGACCAAAGYGGGGGACCUUCGGGCCUCACGCCUUCGGAUGAGCCCAGAUGAGAUUAGCUGGUAGGUAAGGUAAAGGCUYACCUAGGCGACGAUCUCUAGCGGGUCUGAGAGGAUAGCCCGCCACACUGGAACUGAGACACGGUCCAGACUCCUACGGGAGGCAGCAGUGGGGAAUAUUGCACAAUGGGCGAAAGCCUGAUGCAGCCAUGCCACGUGUGUGAAGAAGGCC